CUCACCCAUCUAGAAAUCCAGUUCGUCUGUGAUACAUUUGAAACUUCAUUCCCUCUCCUUUUUAGAAAACCAAUAAAAUCUCUCUCUUCAUCCCUCUCUUCUCCUAUUGAAACCCUUUCUCUCUCGCGUGGUUUUGGCCAUAGAAACAUUAAUUUUAUUCAACCAAACACUCACAGAAAAGACCUCCCAUGGAGUUUAUGCCUAGUGGAGCAAGUGGGGGAACUAAAAUCCCUCCUUAAAUUUUUACUAAUCUGGUCCACCAAGUUUUUCCCCUCCUUUUCAAGCCAAAUUCAUGGAUAAUUGCAUCACUUCCAACUUCAAGAUUGCAACUAGUUCCUUUGAAACCCUUGUUAUUCAUCUUCAUUUGGGUCAUCCUUUAUGAUCGAUUCCAAAAAUUCUGGGCAAAUAAGGUUAUUUCAAAGUCAAACCUCAUAAUGUAGCCGACCUAGUUUUGCUUCUUCUUGUCUAUGGCUCUUCGUUGUUUUCCAGGGAAAGCUUAACAUCAAUUCUUCAAUGAACAGAUUGGAAAUGGGCAACGAUUAUAGUUUAAAACAAGCGUAAUGAAAAUCUUGAGGAGAUUGUUUUCAUUCAGUCAUCAACAAAGCAUAUUGCAAAUCUUGAGGAUAUCAAGCAAGAAUUAAGAGACAUGCAUUCAAAUGAUCCUCAAUUGUAGUUUAAGGGCAUGAUUUAAACAAGUAUUAAACAAGCAUGGUGAAGAGAAUGCAAGAGAAACGUUUAUUCCUGUAUUUGGUGAAUCAAAUACCAUGGUCUAAUAACGAGCCAUUCUGAUUACUCGAUAAUAUUGAACGGAACAAAAGACAGGUGGACUCAACGGUCUUCCGAAAAGGGAUGGGGGCAUCACAUACAUAUGGUGAGGUACAAUAAUGGUUAAAGACCCAAAAGUCUAGUCUAGGGGAGUUGAUAGGCGGGAAUGGCCAAGAAGCCUCUUGUUCAUAUCUCUCAUCAAAAGUCGUUUCCGGGAAGCACAUGCACAAAGGGAAUCAUUCUUCAAUUUUAUCGAUGCACUGCAUUCAUUCUUUGUUUUUGUUUAAUUUGGUUGCUUAUUUGUGUAGGCAAUGGUAAGAGUUUAUGUCUCUUGGUUGCUUCAAACAAAUUCAUUGGUUCUUAUGGAGCAACUUAUACCCGUGAUCAACAAAAACCAUUGUGGGCAAGUAUUUCUCAAACUCUAGUAACAGCUGCACUUCACUUUGCUGGUAUGUUAGAAAGGGCAUACUGUACUGAAACGGACUUUUAAUCAAGUGAAGAAACAAAAAACUUCUUCUCUUUCUUUUGUUUUUCCUUCAAUCUAUCACUCAAAAUCAAGCAAAUGUGAAUCUAAAGAUUUUGAAGAAUUGUGGCUUUAACAACAUAAG
Long non-coding RNA from Benincasa hispida (wax gourd), 1373 nucleotides. RefSeq lists it as uncharacterized. Lineage: Eukaryota; Viridiplantae; Streptophyta; Magnoliopsida; Cucurbitales; Cucurbitaceae. The record is from RefSeq and is a predicted model, not a curated record.